UCCUUCAGGUUUGCCACUUUGCAGGAA
This 27-nucleotide non-coding RNA is filed under the name Mus musculus (house mouse). The record is from RNAcentral. Lineage: Eukaryota; Metazoa; Chordata; Mammalia; Rodentia; Muridae.